Molecule: long non-coding RNA, 440 nt
Filed under: Erythranthe guttata (spotted monkey flower)
Lineage: Eukaryota; Viridiplantae; Streptophyta; Magnoliopsida; Lamiales; Phrymaceae
Description: long non-coding RNA (EGUT_LNC002931)
Source: RNAcentral
ACUAUUUAAGGAAUUAAGCUUUAAGGGCAAAACAAGGAGAGGAACAAGAGAAAAUUUUGGUAGCAAUGUAAUUGAUCUAAGAUACAUCUUUAGUGUGUGGUCAAGAUUGGUUUGAGAAGCGGUCCUUUAGUUGAUGUUGAAGAAGACCUCGAUAAGCUCUUAUCAAUAGAAAAGAGUAUGUAUUCGUCUUCAAUUUUAUAAUACUUUUACUUUGUUACAAUUAUUUCUAAAUGUUAAUAUUUUUGAUUGUUUUUUCAUUGUAGAUAUCAAUGCAUUGAAGGUUAACAAUUGAGAAAAAUUGGAGAGUGAUUCAAUGUGGAUGUCCUCUCGGUUUUUUUGUUUGGAUGUAUAUUAGGUGUUGUAUUGUUGGUAUUUUGAACUUAGGCAUGCUUGUUCCCUUUAUUUCUUUUUUUAUAAUUUAAUUUCAUCAAGAAAGCAGG